UUGCUCAAAUUUGACCUGGCUGUCCCUCAAUGAUGGAGGGAUGGCUGGGCCAAACCUGAGUGGAGAGUGGGCCAGACCUGGACUGGGAAGCUGGCUCAGCCACAUGGGACAGGAGCUGCCACUGUGGGGUGAGCAUGGGGUGGGAUUGCUCUCCAUUCUCCCACCCUCAGCACCCCCAGCUGGGAUUAGGGUUGCAGUGCUGGAGCAGAGGGUGCAUAUAUGUAACUACGUAAUGUGUGCAGAUGCUAAUGGAAAUUAAGAGAAGGAACAGAACUUUACCACCACACAUGAGAUUCAAGUGAAAGGACCUAAUUCUGAAUUCACAAAUGAUCAGGACAUCACAAUAAAAAUCAUGGCCAUCACUCACA
Long non-coding RNA from Mauremys reevesii (Reeves's turtle), 368 nucleotides. RefSeq lists it as uncharacterized. The transcript is spliced from 2 exons. Lineage: Eukaryota; Metazoa; Chordata; Testudines; Geoemydidae. The record is from RefSeq and is a predicted model, not a curated record.